UGGCUGUGUUACACUUUAUGGCUACUGGGAGCUUCCAGGCUGUGGCAGGCGACGUCAUUGGUAUCUCACAGCCCACCUUUUCCAGAUAUUUGAUGCAGGUGAGUCUAAAAAUACAUAGGCGGUUAUGUCUAAGUGUUGCUUCUGUAAGUUCAAACAACACAGUAUUGUAGAGAAUACCUAACAUGACACUCACCUUAGCUUCUUUAAUGUCCACUCAGGUUUUGGAUGUGUUGGAGCCACACAUUAAUGCCUCAAUCUGCUUCCCUACCGAGGAGUCGGAGUGGAGUGCUGUCAGGGUAGCUUUCUAUGAGCUUGCUGGCAUGCCCAAUGUGCUGGGGGCCAUAGAUUGCACACACGUUCAGCUGAGAUCACCUAAGGGCCGCCAAUAUAUAUAUACUAAUAGACAUCUGUCCCAAUCAACUAAUGUCCAGGUGGUCUGUGAUGCAAACUUAAAAAUUAUGAGUGUUGUUGCAGGUUACCCUGGUGGCUGCCAUGACUCCUUCAUCCUCAGUCAGUCAUCGCUCUUCGAUAAAUUUGAGGACGGACAAAUGCCUGAUGGCUGGCUGUUGGGUAUGUUUAAAAUGUUUUGUGUGUAUGUCUUUUAUCCACAAACUCGAGUUAUGAUUAGGUGAAAGAAUAAUCUAACAUAUGUACUAAUGUGGACUAUAUCUGUUUUUCAGGUGAUGGGGGUUACGGCUGCUACUCUUGGCUCCUUACUCCAUUGUCCCAACCUGAUUCUCCUGCUGAACACAGUUACAAUCAUGCACAUAAGGCUACGCGGAAUGUGAUAGAAAGAUGUUUUGGUGUGCUGAAGUCACGGUUUCGGUGUCUGGAUAAAUCUGCUGGCCUUUUGUUGUAUAGUCCCUCAAAGAUAACUGAGGGGAUCGGGGCUCAUCACUCUGCGAACUCGCCAAUAGUGCCAGUGGUGGCUGGGGUGACACUGCCGAAAGUCGUCGCCUGGGUGGGGAUGAUGGAGCCGCAGAUUCCGAGCCAAGACGCCGUGUCUUACUUGGCCUCCUGGAAUAUGUGACUACACUGAAGUCUUACCUGCAAUCCCAGCCUCAUCCUGACUUGUCUGAGGCCUGUCUGGCCGGCUGGUCUGUGGGACUGUUGAAAAAGUGUACCAAACAUUAUUACCAUGCUUUAUGUAAAAAAAAACCCCUGCAAAGCCUUAUUGUACUGUAACCAUCUAUUAGGUAUUGGAUAAACAAAUAAUUUCUGAUUAAGAGCUUCAAGCUUCAUUAUUUUGUGGUGUAUAUCCAAAUGUACAUGAUGUUGC
Pseudophryne corroboree (corroboree frog) is the source of this 1279-nucleotide long non-coding RNA. RefSeq lists it as uncharacterized. The record is from RefSeq and is a predicted model, not a curated record. The transcript has 3 exons. Lineage: Eukaryota; Metazoa; Chordata; Amphibia; Anura; Myobatrachidae.